RNAcentral lists this ribosomal RNA (985 nucleotides) under Enterococcus faecium. RNAcentral describes it as "partial 23S ribosomal RNA". It matches the Rfam family "Bacterial large subunit ribosomal RNA", at positions 111 to 1097 of the family's 2925-position model. The record is from RNAcentral. Lineage: Bacteria; Bacillati; Bacillota; Bacilli; Lactobacillales; Enterococcaceae.
UUUCCGAAUGGGGGAACCCAACAUCUUUAAUAGGAUGUUACGAUUGUGUGAAUACAUAGCACAUUCGAGGUAGACGCAGAGAACUGAAACAUCUAAGUACCUGCAGGAAGAGAAAGAAAAUUCGAUUCCCUGAGUAGCGGCGAGCGAAACGGGAAAAGCCCAAACCAGCAAGCUUGCUUGUUGGGGUUGUAGGACUCCAAUAUGGUAGUUCUUUCAGAUAGUCGAAUGACUUGGAAAAGUCAGUCAAAGAGGGUAAAAACCCCGUAGACGAAAUGUGGAAGACACCUAGGAGGAUCCUGAGUACGGCGGAACACGAGAAAUUCCGUCGGAAUCCGGGAGGACCAUCUCCCAAGGCUAAAUACUCCCUAGUGACCGAUAGUGAACCAGUACCGUGAGGGAAAGGUGAAAAGCACCCCGGAAGGGGAGUGAAAUAGAACCUGAAACCGUGUGCCUACAACAAGUCAAAGCCCGUUAAUGGGUGAUGGCGUGCCUUUUGUAGAAUGAACCGGCGAGUUACGAUUGCAUGCGAGGUUAAGUUGAAGAGACGGAGCCGCAGCGAAAGCGAGUCUGAAUAGGGCGUUUGAGUAUGUAGUCGUAGACCCGAAACCAUGUGAUCUACCCAUGUCCAGGUUGAAGGUGCGGUAAAACGCACUGGAGGACCGAACCCACGUACGUUGAAAAGUGCGGGGAUGAGGUGUGGGUAGCGGAGAAAUUCCAAACGAACUUGGAGAUAGCUGGUUCUCUCCGAAAUAGCUUUAGGGCUAGCCUCGGAAUUGAGAAUGAUGGAGGUAGAGCACUGUUUGGACUAGGGGCCCAUCUCGGGUUACCGAAUUCAGAUAAACUCCGAAUGCCAUUCAUUCAUAUCCGGGAGUCAGACUGUGAGUGAUAAGAUCCAUAGUCGAAAGGGAAACAGCCCAGACCACCAGCUAAGGUCCCAAAAUAUAUGUUAAGUGGAAAAGGAUGUGGGGUUGCACAGACAACUAGG